Molecule: ribosomal RNA, 439 nt
Filed under: uncultured bacterium
Lineage: Bacteria
Description: partial 16S ribosomal RNA
Rfam family: Bacterial small subunit ribosomal RNA
Source: RNAcentral
CUACGGGGUGCUCCAGUGAGGAAUAUUGCACAAUGGGGGGAACCCUGAUGCAGCAACGCCGCGUGGAGGAUGACGCAUUUCGGUGUGUAAACUCCUUUUAUAUGUCAAGAAAAUGACGGUAGCAUAUGAAUAAGCACCGGCUAACUCCGUGCCAGCAGCCGCGGUAAUACGGAGGGUGCAAGCGUUACUCGGAAUCACUGGGCGUAAAGGACGCGUAGGCGGGUUGGUAAGUCAGGUGUGAAAUCCUACAGCUUAACUGUAGAACUACACUUGAAACUACCGACCUAGAGUAUGGGAGGGGAAGAUGGAAUUAGUGGUGUAGGGGUAAAAUCCGUAGAUAUCACUAGGAAUACCUAAAGCGAAGGCGAUCUUCUGGAACAUUACUGACGCUAAGGCGUGAAAGCGUGGGGAGCAAACAGGAUUAGAUACCCCCGUAGUC